UACGGAGGGUGCGAGCGUUAAUCGGAAUUACUGGGCGUAAAGGGUGCGUAGGUGGUUAAUUAAGCUAGAUGUAAAAGGCCUGAGCUUAACUUGGGUAUGCAUUUAGUACUGGUUAACUAGAGUACAAUAGAGGGGUGUGGAAUUUCCUGUGUAGCGGUGAAAUGCGUAGAUAUAGGAAGGAACACCAGUGGCGAAGGCGACACCCUGGAUUGAUACUGACACUGAGGUGCGAAAGCGUGGGGAGCAAACAGG
This 252-nucleotide ribosomal RNA is filed under the name uncultured bacterium. RNAcentral describes it as "partial 16S ribosomal RNA". It matches the Rfam family "Bacterial small subunit ribosomal RNA", at positions 524 to 776 of the family's 1533-position model. The record is from RNAcentral.